Molecule: ribosomal RNA, 280 nt
Filed under: Anaerostipes hadrus ATCC 29173 = JCM 17467
Lineage: Bacteria; Bacillati; Bacillota; Clostridia; Lachnospirales; Lachnospiraceae
Description: Anaerostipes hadrus DSM 3319 partial 16S ribosomal RNA
Rfam family: Bacterial small subunit ribosomal RNA
Source: RNAcentral
UAUGGUAAUUGUGUGCCGCCGCGGUAAUACGUAGGGGGCAAGCGUUAUCCGGAAUUACUGGGUGUAAAGGGUGCGUAGGUGGUAUGGCAAGUCAGAAGUGAAAACCCAGGGCUUAACUCUGGGACUGCUUUUGAAACUGUCAGACUGGAGUGCAGGAGAGGUAAGCGGAAUUCCUAGUGUAGCGGUGAAAUGCGUAGAUAUUAGGAGGAACAUCAGUGGCGAAGGCGGCUUACUGGACUGAAACUGACACUGAGGCACGAAAGCGUGGGGAGCAAACAGG